Molecule: non-coding RNA, 21 nt
Organism: Caenorhabditis elegans
Lineage: Eukaryota; Metazoa; Nematoda; Chromadorea; Rhabditida; Rhabditidae
Source: Ensembl
UCAAUUAGUCGAUUUUGAUCU